Molecule: ribosomal RNA, 427 nt
Filed under: Bacillota bacterium
Lineage: Bacteria; Bacillati; Bacillota
Description: Firmicutes bacterium partial 16S ribosomal RNA
Rfam family: Bacterial small subunit ribosomal RNA
Source: RNAcentral
UCGGGAAUUUUGCACAAUGGCCGAAAGGCUGAUGCAGCAACGCCGCGUGAGCGAAGAAGGCCUUCGGGUUGUAAAGCUCUGUUGCCUGCGAAGAAGUGCCGUUCGAAUAGGGCGGCACGGUGACGGUACCUAACGAGAAAGCCCCGGCUAACUACGUGCCAGCAGCCGCGGUAAAACGUAGGGGGCAAGCGUUGUCCGGAAUUACUGGGCGUAAAGCGCGCGCAGGCGGUCCUUUAAGUCUGAUGUGAAAUUCCGCGGCUCAACCGCGGGUGUGCAUUGGAAACUGGGGGACUUGAGUGCGGAAGAGGGGAGCGGAAUUCCCGGUGUAGCGGUGAAAUGCGUAGAGAUCGGGAGGAACACCAGUGGCGAAGGCGGCUCUCUGGUCCGCAACUGACGCUGAGGCGCGAAAGCGUGGGGAGCGAACAGG